This 485-nucleotide long non-coding RNA is filed under the name Lynx pardinus (Iberian lynx). Lineage: Eukaryota; Metazoa; Chordata; Mammalia; Carnivora; Felidae. The record is from RNAcentral.
GAUGCAUGCUGUGAUGAGAAAUGCCGAAGCACACAUUAGAAGCAAUGAUGGUUAUCAGCCUAGCAGAGGCUGAUGGGCUUCCUCGGAUCUCGCCAUGGAACCAAUGGAAUGCCAGAAAAUGAUUGGCUGGGGAGCUCUUCCACGUUGUCAGGAGCAUUGGAAAAAGGCUGCAAGAGAAUGAUGAGAAAAAACCUGGAGAAUGGCAAAUGCUUCACUGAAGCAAUCUGUUAAGUGCCUCCUUGCAGAGUGGGACGCCUGGCCUGAGAUCAGAGGAGAAGGAAGAGGGCUGGGAGGGGGCAAACUAAGGAAAUAGAAGCCAAGGUGAGCAGGACAGAAAGCAAAGAUUUACAGCAUGUAUCGUAACCACACUAAUAUCUGGGGCUUCUCCUGAAUUUAAUCCAACUUCCAUGAUACUGAAAAUUUAUUAUUUCCCUUAUGUAUUUGUGGAAAACAGACAGAAAAUGAGUAAGAAAAAUGGAAAGAGA